Molecule: ribosomal RNA, 275 nt
Filed under: uncultured prokaryote
Description: partial 16S ribosomal RNA
Rfam family: Bacterial small subunit ribosomal RNA
Source: RNAcentral
UACGGAGGAUCCGAGCGUUAUCCGGAUUUAUUGGGUUUAAAGGGUGCGCAGGCGGGAGAUUAAGUCGGCGGUGAAAUUUUGCAGCUCAACUGUAAAAGUGCCUUCGAAACUGGUUUCCUUGAGUGUAGAUGAAGUAGGCGGAAUUUGUGGUGUAGCGGUGAAGUGCGUAGAUAUCACGAGGAACUCCGAUUGCGCAGGCAGCUUACUAAACUACUACUGACGCUCAUGCACGAAGGCGUGGGGAUCAAACAGGAUUAGAUACCCGGGUAGUUCCU